Molecule: ribosomal RNA, 394 nt
Filed under: uncultured Methanosaeta sp.
Lineage: Archaea; Methanobacteriati; Methanobacteriota; Methanomicrobia; Methanotrichales; Methanotrichaceae
Description: bacterial SSU rRNA
Rfam family: Archaeal small subunit ribosomal RNA
Source: RNAcentral
UAUGAAGGUCAGGCUGAAGACCUUACCCGAUUAGCUGAGAGGUGGUGCAUGGCCGUCGUCAGUUCGUACUGUGAAGCAUCCUGUUAAGUCAGGCAACGAGCGAGACCCACGUCCACAGUUGCCAGCAUACCCUCCGGGGUGAUGGGUACACUGUGGAGACCGCCGCUGCUAAAGCGGAGGAAGGAGUGGGCAACGGUAGGUCAGUAUGCCCCGAAUCUCCCGGGCUACACGCGGGCUACAAUGGUUGGUACAAUGGGCAUCUACCCCGAAAAGGGGAAGGAAAUCUCUUAAAGCCAAUCGUAGUUCGGAUUGAGGGCUGCAACUCGCCCUCAUGAAGCUGGAAUCCGUAGUAAUCGCGUUUCAACAGAACGCGGUGAAUACGUCCCUGCUCCUU